CCGGAAUGAUAAACAUAUACCUCUCAACAUUUCUUUGACAAGCCUUACAGAUGGAAGAGAAAAAGCAAUCACACGGUAUCGAGCUCAGAACCUACACAAGUGUAGAAGCAAAGAGUGAGUACCAACAACAUGGUACCCAACAAACAAUCUAAUAAAAAAAUCAACUAGCUAGAAAUCGAUUACUCCUUUCAUCUUAACCAAAUCUCCUCAAACUACAACCUGCACAUAAGUCAGCCCAACCUAACAAGUUUACAAUACACAACUCCCAAGGCUCAAAAUCACAAUCUAACAGUCACAAUUCAACAACCAACACGUAUCAAGUAAGUCAAUCUCAAUGUCAAGUAGAUCAAUCACACGUAACAAGUACAUCAAUCACAGUUAACAAGUAAGUCAAACAUAAGCAUCAAAAUGCAUCAAAUCACAAUAAUCAAUCUCUUGCCGGAAUCAUUUCCCUUCGGCACAAUAUCACUAGCCGUAAUCAUUUUCCAUUGGGUUUAUAUUAAAUCACUAGUCGGAAUCAUUUCCCAUCAACUUUAUAUCAUUUCACUAGCCGGAACCAUUUUCCAUCGACUUUAUAUUAUUUCACUAACCGGAACCAUUUAUCAUCGGCUUUAUAUCAUUUCACUAGCCAGAACCAUUUCUCGUCUGUUUUAUAUCAUUUCACUAGCCGAAAUCAUUUUCCAUUGACUUUGUAUUAUUUCACUAGUCGGUACCAUUUCCCAUCAGCUUUAUAUCAUUUCACUAGUCAGAACCAUUUUCCAUCGGCUUUAUAUCACAUGUCUCAUCACCAUGGUGUACAACAACCAAUGCACAUAAGCAAGUUCACACCAUAAGGAAGAGAAAACAAUUCAAGUAACUCAAGUCCACAUUCAUGCUAUUAAACAUUUCAUCAAUCAAUUAAUAAGGGUCACACAAGGCAAUUCACAAGCGUUAUGAUCAACACAUAGCCUUUUCAUUUCAACCAUUUUUUAUUCGUUAAGAUUUAUCAAGUGGAACAAUUAACCUUUCACCUCAUUCCCAUUACUCCCAACACACAAUGAAGGGAAUACACAUAUUCUACUAGAAUACAAGGUUUAAGAGAUCACUUGCCUUAAUUCAACCAACUAGUCACUCCAAUACUUGAGUCUUCCCCUUCCGAUCAAUGUCCAAAGUCACACAAUCUAUAUCAAUCAAGUAUUCACAAUAAAUUUUUGGAAACAAAAAUACCCACAUCAAUUACUUGGAAAAAUGAGUCAAUCAACUCAAAAUCCGAUUCUGAAAAUAAAGUUUGAAUUUGAAAUUCUUUACUUGAAAUCGUUACCCAAGGCAUUUGGAACCCAUUGGUUAAAACCAUUUCGAAAAAAGACUUAAAAUCAGUUCACAAUAUUCAUUUUAGUUUAGAACUUGAGUUCUUGAAAAACCUUGUCAUUUGCCAAUCAAAAUAUCAAAUUUUGAUGUUAAAAUCCAUAAAUAAUCAAAGGAAAUGAAGUUAUAGGAUCAAAAAAGCUUACCCAAUGAUUUAGCACAAGAAAUCAAUUCAAAAACCGUCUCUGAGGAUUUGCCAAGCUCAAAAAUGAAAAAUGAGGCUAAAACCCCCAAAAUUUGCAGGUCAAAACCCAUCUCUGAUGUCGCUUAAGUGAACUCAGUUCACUUGAGUGAACCUCGCAAAAACUGGGUCUUGCUUUUGUGAACUAAGCUCCACUUAAGCAAUC
This 1691-nucleotide long non-coding RNA is filed under the name Solanum tuberosum (potato). RNAcentral's name for it is "long non-coding RNA (STUB_LNC002737)". The record is from RNAcentral. Lineage: Eukaryota; Viridiplantae; Streptophyta; Magnoliopsida; Solanales; Solanaceae.